UACGUGGGGGCGAGCGUUGGCCGGAGUUACUGGGCGGAAAGCGCUUGGUGGCGGUCCACCAAGUUUGGGGUGACAGUUGCCGACUUAAUCGGCAAAGUGCCUCAAAGACUGGCGGACUUGAGGGCCACAGAGGGACAUGGAACUCCAGGUGUAGUGGUGAAAUGCGUAGAUAUCUGGAAGAACACCAAAGGCGAAGGCAGUGUCCUGGGUGGUCGCUGACGCUGAGAGGCGAAAGCCAGGGGAGCGAACGGG
This 252-nucleotide ribosomal RNA is filed under the name uncultured bacterium. RNAcentral describes it as "partial 16S ribosomal RNA". It matches the Rfam family "Bacterial small subunit ribosomal RNA", at positions 524 to 776 of the family's 1533-position model. The record is from RNAcentral.